AUCAUGGGCUAUGUAGUUCAUGAGCAUGAUGAUUGGGUGUUCACGCUGCUGCAUGACAUGUGCCUCCCUCACAAACCUUGUUACGACAUCGGCACAUUACCUGUCUGACG
Molecule: small nucleolar RNA, 110 nt
Organism: Cervus hanglu yarkandensis (Yarkand deer)
Lineage: Eukaryota; Metazoa; Chordata; Mammalia; Artiodactyla; Cervidae
Source: Ensembl